Molecule: non-coding RNA, 548 nt
Organism: Arachis ipaensis
Lineage: Eukaryota; Viridiplantae; Streptophyta; Magnoliopsida; Fabales; Fabaceae
Source: RefSeq, a predicted model, not a curated record
UUCGCCUUUGAAACUGCUCUCAUUUCUGCAUUCUUCUGAAUCGAAGCGAAACGGAUCAGGUAAAGCUUGCUUCAAGGGGAAUGUAAAACCGGACAAUGGAGACUCUCAAAAGGAUUUAUCAGCCGAGGAUAAACUGAGUUCAACAUGGAGAGAGGCUUUCAUGAAGGCAUGUAAGUCUAUGGACAAAGAGCUCAGGUCUCAUCCGAAUUUGGACUGCUUUUGUAGUGGGAGCACGGCUGUCACUAUAGUGAAGCAGGGCUCAAAUUUGUUCAUGGGAUAUAUCGAGGAUUCUCGAGCAGUGAUGGGAUCCAAGGACAGCAAUGACUCCAUGGUGGCAAUUUAGUUGACCAUUGAUUUGAAGCCCGAUUUGCCAAGAGAAGCAGAAAGAAUUAAACGGUGCAAGGGAAGGGUGUUUGCUUUGCAAGAUGAGCAUUCGGAGAUUUCUGCUUGAAGGAGUAUGGUGUGAUUUCCAUACCUAAAUUUUCUCACCGACUGCUUACUGACAAAGAUCAUUUUGUUGUUCUUGCCUCAGAUGGUGUAAGAAUUUU